CGCGUUGACACUAACGGAAGUAGGUGGUGAAUUGACCGGUAAUGAUUAGCUAUUAGCUUCUUCUAAGAACUAAAUUAAAGCGUUUUUUCUUUGUCUUUACCCACUUUAUUAACCUCGUGGUUCCUGUGCAGCUGAAUCUUGUCCCAGUGUGGAGCUGCACCAUCAUGAUGUCCUGUCAGUCCCUCCUGAUGCUGAUGAUGCUGAGUGUCCUGACUGUGGGAGUCUCAGCGGUGGAAGUCCAACGCCCUCGCGGUGUCCCUUUGUCAAAACGGCAGUUCUAUGAAGAGGGCAAACCUUUUACCUGCCUGGAUGGCUCCCGCACUAUUCCCUUUGACAGAGUGAACGAUGACUACUGUGACUGCCAGGACGGCUCUGAUGAGCCAGGCACUGCUGCCUGUCCCAACGGCAGCUUCCACUGCACCAAUGCAGGUUUCCGACCAGGCUUCAUCCCUUCUUCUCGCAUCAAUGAUGGAAUCUGUGACUGCUGUGACACAACAGAUGAGUACAACAGUGGUGCUGCCUGUCAGAACACCUGCAGGGAGAUGGGGCGCAAAGAGAAGGAGAGCCUGCAGAAGAUGGCGGAAAUCGCCAAGGAGGGCUUUCUGCUGAAACAGCAACUUAUCCAGGAUGCCAAGAAGGGCCUUGAAGAUAAGAAGGCCAAACAUGCAGAUGUUCAGGUCAGUAGGAAAGAUUUGGAAAAGAGGGUGGAGGCUCUGAGAACUGAAAAGGAGACUGUAGAGAUGCCAGAGAGAGAAGCCAAAGAGCGCCAUCUGAAGGCCUGGGAAGAUCAAAAGGCAGUGAUUCAAAUGGAGAAGGACAAGGCCAAAAUGGCUGAGGUGUUUCUUGAACUGGAUGAUGAUGCAGAUGGCCUUAUCUCGGUGCCUGAGCUUCUGUCCCAUGCUGAGCUCGACCCAGACGCAGAUGAUACCUUCACAGAAGCAGAGGCUGAGGGACUGUUGGGAGGAGUGGACAAAGUGGACACCGAUGCAUUUGAGUCUGUUUGGAAUAACAUCAAAGAAAAAUACAAAUCAGAGGCCAACGCAGACAUCCCAGCGCCAGUGGAGACGCCGCCGGAGGAGAUCAGGGAGCCAGUCCCCGACAAUGACUCUGAGCAGUACCCUGAAGACGACAUCCAAGAGGAAGAAGAGGAGGAUGAUGAAGAGGAGGAAGAUGAGGACCAAGAUGACGGAGAGUAUAAGAGCCCUCCUACGAAGCAGACCCAAGAAAAGAAGGAUGACGAUGGUGAGGGGACGAUGCCACCCUACGACCAAGAAACGCAGAACCUCAUUGAUGUUGCUCAGAAAGCCAGGGAUGCAUUUGAUGAGGCUGAGAGAGCUCUCCGGGAAGUUGAUGAUCAGGUCAAGAACCUCGAGAAGGAAAUCUCCUUUGACUUUGGACCCAGUGCUGAGUUUGCCUACCUCUAUAACCAGUGUUAUGAGUUGCCUACUAGCGAAUACGUCUACAGACUCUGUCCUUUCAGCAGAGUGUCCCAGAAACCAAAGUACGGUGGAUCAGAAACUAACCUGGGAUCAUGGGGACAUUGGGCGGGUCCUGAGGAUAACAUCUACGCUGUGAUGAAGUAUGAACAUGGGACAGGAUGUUGGCAAGGCCCUAACAGAUCCACCACGAUUAAGUUAAUAUGUGGAAAGGACACAGUUUUGACAUCUACCUCAGAGCCCAGUCGUUGCGAGUACAUGAUGGAGUUUACCAGCCCUGCUGUCUGCCAUGAGCCUUCAAGCCUGGAUCCAGCGCUUCCUGAGCACGAAGAGCUCUAGAUCCACUGGAUUUGGACAGUCAGAGCUGCAUAAUGUUUCAACAUUUUGGAAGAAAGGAAAGGAAGAAAAUCCCCAGUGCAGUUACAGCUUCCCUUUAGAAGAAGAGCAGGACGGCAGCAAGAGCAAGGUUGUUCUUGAGGGACCACAGUCGCCAUAGCAACCUGAAGUUGCCAUGCCAUGCCGGGAGCGAGCGGCACCACCUCGGCGUCGAUAAACAAUUGAGAAUAAACGAUGGAAAUUCCAAUGAGUAGUUAUCUCGUCUGCACAUCCAACUUCCUCUGCCACCUGUUGUGUUGUUACUGAUUUGUGUCAAAUAUAGUCAUUCCAUUGUUUUCAAAUAAAGUUCAUUUUAUCAUAU
Molecule: RNA transcript, 2133 nt
Organism: Sebastes umbrosus (honeycomb rockfish)
Lineage: Eukaryota; Metazoa; Chordata; Actinopteri; Perciformes; Sebastidae
Gene: prkcsh
Gene name: protein kinase C substrate 80K-H
Exons: 19
Source: RefSeq, a predicted model, not a curated record